This 448-nucleotide ribosomal RNA is filed under the name uncultured prokaryote. RNAcentral's name for it is "bacterial SSU rRNA". It matches the Rfam family "Bacterial small subunit ribosomal RNA", at positions 355 to 796 of the family's 1533-position model. The record is from RNAcentral.
UCGGGAAUCUUGCACAAUGGGCGAAAGCCUGAUGCAGCAACGCCGUGUGAGCGAGGAAGGCCUUCGGGUCGUAAAGCUCUGUUGUUGGGGACGAAGGGCGAAGGGUUAAUAGCCCCCAGCCUGACGGUACCCUUCGAGGAAGCCCCGGCUAACUACGUGCCAGCAGCCGCGGUAAUACGUAGGGGGCGAGCGUUGUCCGGAAUUAUUGGGCGUAAAGAGCGUGUAGGCGGCCCGGUAAGUCUGCCGUGAAAACCUGGGGCUCAACCCCGGGCGUGCGGUGGAUACUGCUGGGCUAGAGGAUGGUAGAGGCGAGUGGAAUUCCCGGUGUAGCGGUGAAAUGCGCAGAGAUCGGGAGGAACACCAGUAGCGAAGGCGGCUCGCUGGGCCAUUCCUGACGCUGAGACGCGAAAGCUAGGGGAGCGAACAGGAUUAGAUACCCCCGUAGUCC